GAUAAACGCUGACAGAAUGCUUAACACAUGCAAGUCUACUUGAAUUUGGGUUUUUAACUUAGAUUUGGGUGGCGGACGGGUGAGUAACGCGUAAAGAACUUGCCUCACAGCUAGGGACAACAUUUAGAAAUGAAUGCUAAUACCUAAUAUUAUGAUAAUAGGGCAUCCUAUAAUUAUGAAAGCUAUAAGCGCUGUGAGAGAGCUUUGCGUCCCAUUAGCUAGUUGGAGAGGUAACGGCUCACCAAGGCGAUGAUGGGUAGCCGGCCUGAGAGGGUGAUCGGCCACAAGGGGACUGAGACACGGCCCUUACUCCUACGGGAGGCAGCAGUGGGGAAUAUUGGACAAUGGACCGAGAGUCUGAUCCAGCAAUUCUGUGUGCACGAUGAAGUUUUUCGGAAUGUAAAGUGCUUUCAGUUGGGAAGAAAGAAAUGACGGUACCAACAGAAGAAGUGACGGCUAAAUACGUGCCAGCAGCCGCGGUAAUACGUAUGUCACGAGCGUUAUCCGGAUUUAUUGGGCGUAAAGCGCGUCUAGGUGGUUAUAUAAGUCUGAUGUGAAAAUGCAGGGCUCAACUCUGUAUUGCGUUGGAAACUGUAUAACUAGAGUACUGGAGAGGUAAGCGGAACUACAAGUGUAGAGGUGAAAUUCGUAGAUAUUUGUAGGAAUGCCGAUGGGGAAGCCAGCUUACUGGACAGAUACUGACGCUGAAGCGCGAAAGCGUGGGUAGCAAACAGG
This 735-nucleotide ribosomal RNA is filed under the name uncultured Fusobacterium sp. Its description in RNAcentral is "bacterial SSU rRNA". It matches the Rfam family "Bacterial small subunit ribosomal RNA", at positions 28 to 776 of the family's 1533-position model. The record is from RNAcentral. Lineage: Bacteria; Fusobacteriati; Fusobacteriota; Fusobacteriia; Fusobacteriales; Fusobacteriaceae.